UUUUUUUUUCUGUAGACUCCAUGCAGAAUUUGAGCUUUAUGUAGUAUAAGAAGGAGUCCAAUGGACAUGAAUAUUGUGAAUUAAAGCAGUGAUGUACUAUUGAAUGGGACAUUCAGGUAAAAAUUAUUCCUGGGUGAAAAAUACAAAGAAGCAUAGAAUAGUUUUCUUAUAAAGUGGCUGGAUUGAACAGAACAGCCCUUGAAGCAAAGAAACCUCUGAGAUGGAAUUAUUUAUUUUUUAAUAAGGGAUGAAAGACUGAGGCCGGUAGAAAUCCAAGUAAAAUUCAAGAAGAAGACCAAGAAAGGGGUGUUUCAAUUUGAAUUUCCUCCACUCAUCUUGACAACAUGUUUGUGUUAUUCUCAUUGGAGAGCAGCUAGCUCUUGGACAAUGGUGGGAGGGGAGAUAACAGAAGCAUGCUAACAACGCAGCACUUGAAAUCAGGCAUGGUAAGACCAGUGUGCUGCUCUGCCAGUGCUGAGUGGAAUCUAAAUUUAGGGAUGCACAUGAGUUAUGGGGCAUAGUGUCAUGGGAAUGCUGCACAGGAACUGGAAGAAGAGAGUCCUCUUGGAGCUUCUUUACCAUAUUGCGCCAGAUGGUCCACGUUCUUAUGGAAAGUCUGAUUCUGGAAGGAAUUGUCAGCUCAUCCCAUCCCAUCGGAGAAACUGAGUGAUUAUAGACUCCUUUUUCAUGGCUCUGUUGCAUUAAGCACCAGAACUCUUUGCUAAUAGCAUGGGCCAUAUGUUGCCCUCACUAAACAGCACAGUGUGGAGCAGAGGAAUAAGAAUACAAGUGAGAUGAAGCCAGAGUAUGCACGACAAGUCAAAAUAGAGGACAGACCAACUUCCAUAACAAGACGAGCAACAGAAACUCCACUGGAUAAUGGUGAAUGACACAUGGGAGUACAGCCUUUGAAAGCCCAGAUUAACUUAAUCCCAGCAUUUCAGACUGGUGAAUAUUCCAAUUGGAUAUGGAGAAAAAUAAUGCCAUCACAGAGUGCAAUAUGUGGAAAUACCAUUCCUGUGACUGUUCAUUUCCUCAUAUCCAUAUACCAGUUACUUAAAUGGAAGGAAUCCUGUAGUCCUAAAGCACCAACACUCUGUUACAGUUUCUCAUUUAUCUUCAGAUAAAUCUCAUUCUUUUCAGAUGUGACAUCAUUCUCUAGUGAUAGUAAAAAUAAUUCGAAUAAAGUAAUUGUCUUUGCAGAGCCAUUUGUUAUGAUAAGUGAAUUCCAAUCAAAUGUUUAAUGAAUGUUGGAACAAGACAUGGAUAAGCAGAAUGAGGCAAGACUGCCAAAUAUGCUUUUAGAGGACUGAAAACAUAAUGGAGUCCAACCACUUUGCCCAGGCUUACAGUUUUGAUGAGUAAGUUGCUACAAGUUAAAGGGAAGAUGUUGUAUCCUUUAAAGAAGUUAUUUUUAGGACAAAGGGUCUUGGGAUUCACUGUCAUAAGUUUUAACUCUUGUGGUCAAGUCAUCCUACAUGAUUUUUGGAUAAUACUGGGUGUAUUGAAGGAGAAAGUGAAACAAUAGGAAUGAAGGUGAGUUGUCAGAGGGAAGAAUAGAGGUUCUUGAUGAAGAAAAAAUGGUUUUGACUCAUUUUAGGUGUAUGUCAUAAGUUAUAUGUCUUUUCGACAGGACAGAUAUAUGCAGGAAGAAAGGUGACAUCACAAAAAGAUUCACCUGAAGAGAGAAUGGUGAAAGGAAUGGAUCUGCCACAGAUUACAGUCCCAGUGACUGCAGAUGAGAUGCAUAAAUAAGUGGGCAUAGAACAAGUCAGGGAGAGCACAUGUUGCUUAGGCCAAAGCUGAACGCUCUUCUGUCUGUUGCAUUUCAUAUUCUCAGACCAGAAGAGGUGAGGAAUUCUUGCUAAGCUGAAGUGCUUCAUGAUGGAAUGUAUCCUGUCAAAGUAUUUGUAGAUCCUUUCUAUGCUCUUUUUAUCUAUGUCAUAUGGUAUUUUUUUUACUUUUGUUGAAAAUUAGCCUCCUCAUUUUCCAGCAGAGACAGCAUAGAAUUCUGUAUUGGGAUGGAAGAGUAACUUCUAGUUUCACAAUAGAGAUACAGAUUUUUCCUCUUUAGCAAAAAAUGCAGGAGAAAGCUGGAAGCCCUUCAGAACACAUUUUUCCCUCCUUCAUGAUGUUUCAGUGUAUUCAGCAUCAGGAGGUGUUUAAAGGCACAUUGGAUAGAUGUCAGCUAUUUUCCUUGUCAUUAAAGCUGAGAGAGAUUCAAUGUAUGGUGAUUAACUUCCCUAAGUAUAUUCAGAAUUAUAUUCUAAAGGCAACAGAUUCAUUAGCUCACUUAUAAUUUUAGAGUUAUAUAACCUGGGUUUAUAAAACUGACUGAAGGAGAAGAUUGUGGAUUAUCUUAUCUCAUCAAAGACUAAUGUUCACUUGAAACCCAUGUAGGAUUCCUGCUUUGCUGAAAUGGUUGGUAUUUAAGAUGCUGUUGGCCGUCUGGUUUAGUUUAAGCAACUCUAUGAUGGAGCCUUCAGCUCACUCUGACACCCUCCCUAUAUUCAUUCCAAGUGGCCUGACCCUGCUUCCAUCUCCUGUGUAUUUCCUGCUUACACUUGAGUGAUGACAGGAGUUCCUUGUUCAUCCAAGCAAGUCUCUUGCCUUCUUUGGUUUCUUUGGGGUGCAUCCAUUGCAUUGGGAUGGAUCCACCCAUUGGGGUGCAUCAUUCUUGAGCCUGUAGGAAGUGAACCUUGAACAUCAACCAGGUCUCUUGGACCCCUCUUCCCACAGGAUCUGUUCCCAUGGAUUCUUCCAAGAAGAUCCCUAAAGAGGCUGAAGUCAGCUGUCCUGAAAUCCAUGGUUACAAUUAUUCACUGCCCUGCUUCUUCCUUGCCCAGUGGUGAACUCCACAAUCUCAUGGUCACUGUGGCCAAGGCAGCCCCCAGCCUUCACAUCUCUGACAAAGCCUUCCCUGUUUGUCACUCUGAGCUAACCAGGACACCAUUCCUCGUGGGAUCCUCCCCUACCUGUGACAGGAAGUUGUCAACAAGGCUUUACAGGAGCUUCCUGGGCUCUUUGUUCCUCGUGUUACUUCUCAACUCUUUGAAAAGUAUUCAAAACUCCCAGGAUAUUACUAGAGAAGUAAAUACUUCCAUCAUUUGAUCAUCUCUAUUUCUGCCAUCCACAGAAAAAAAUGGGUUGGCACAGGUUUCAUCCUGUGAACAGAUUUUUCAUUAAUUGAUGGACAAUUAACUGUCAUCUCUGAAGAAGAAUCCAGAUGAGUAUUUUCAAAUUUUGGGGUACAAUAUUUCCCUCAGCAGGCAGUAAAAAAGUAAAAAGUUUAAAAUUAAAAUUGGAAAAGUCCCACUGCCUCCCAUGUUUUUCUUUAGUAUGUCACUUAAACAAAUAUCUGGUUUGCCUGUUUUCUACCACUGGGGACAGGGCUAUUGAAUAGUUUGCACCAGAAAGCAUCUCUCCAUAGGAAAAAAAUAAUAUUCUUUAGCAUUUACUCUCAAAUGUGAAAGCCCUCAACUCAGUUGAAAGUUUUUCAUGCUGAAUUUCUCCAAACAGCAAGCUAAUAAUAUGUUACUUUCUUAUUUAUUAUGACUGAUUUUUAUUUCUUUUUAUAAUUGCACUUCAUUAAAUGUAUCUCCAGAGAAACUACAUCAAAGUUGUCUCCAUGUAAAUGCAAUUAAUGUAACGAGUUGAAAUGUUAGUCCCUGUCAUUGAGAUAUCCACAACACAUCCUAGUCUAAUCAAAUAGGAGUGACACUUAAAAAUAGUUCAAGAGCCUAAAGCGUUUUGCUAUCUGAACAGUGGAGGGCAAGUAUUUAGUUCCAGUGCUGCAGCCCACCCACUGCAAGCACAGGCAUUUUUGCUUUCAAAAUUAGUCUUUAUUGUUCUAUGGGUUUUUGGUUUGUUUCUUUUUUGCAGUAAUAUAGUCCAUGAUCUUUCAAUAUUGAGGUACCUUCAUACCAGUAUCUCCAUAUUUUUUUUGAUAUUAAAUGGCAAGGAUCAUACUGACAGUCUUGAAAUUCUCUUGCCUUAUUGGGUAAUUACAGUAGUCCCUUCUCUUUGACAGAAUAUUCCUUGACAAUGGAGAGGAGGUAAACCUUGGAAGAAAAUUGUAGAUAUGAAGGAUUUUCAGUCUACACUUUCCAGGACCAAGCAGUCUGUAAGAUUCUCCAUGGAUGCUCAUCACAAUUUGCCUUAAUUUCUUGACUCUUUAUGUUUGUCAGGGAGGUGGCGGGAUUUCAUGAGCAUAUGUGCAAAAGGUGAGGCUUCAAUGAUAUUUUUAAUGAAAAUGUGGGAUGGCUGUCUUACCCUAUAGGAUACUCUCUUGCAAGGCAGAAAUCCUGGUUAAUUUCUCCAAGUCAUAUAUUUUUUCAACAAUAUAAGAUAAGUAAAAUUGUCUACAUUACAUUGGCUUUCAUACUGGCUUUAGGACUGGCUUUGAGACCCUGGCAUGGAAACACACAAUGAACAUAUAUGGGUACAUUGAUGAAAGGAACCCAUGUUCCUUUGCAGUCUAGCUGUUAUUGAAAACAGCUAUGUAAUGGUUCAAACUCCAAGGACCAACCAUGUGCUUCAGUGCUAAGGUUUUAGACAGUCUAAAUUGUGAACAAUACCACAUCUGUGCUCCCCUGUAUUUGUUGCCAAUUGGGCAACUGUAAAGAUUAUCCACUAGUGAGUCAGGUGUUCUAUGAAAUGCAAGUGGUUUAACCAAAACCAGAACAGAGUAAAACUGUGCAUGCAAAAUAAACUUCUAAGUGAUUAAAAAGAAAACAAAAUCACAUCACAAGUAGACAAUAUGCCUGUGAGAAAAAAAAAGGUGCAUUUUAUGACUAAAUACCCAAGGCAUGCUUAUCAUUCUUAAUUCAGCAUGCAAAACACUAUGCUGAGGUGCCAUGCAGAAAGAGACAUGCAAGAAUCCAAUUUCAUUAGUUGCAAAACAAAAAAGGCAUUUAAUCAGAACAGCUCCUUAAUCUGCCAGAGUUGUGGCUGUCAAGCAUUGCAAGGAAGGCCAGGGAAGAGUGGGAAAACAGGUGUAUGGCACAGAGGGAAUAAAAUAGAGUAGAUCCUGUUAACUUAGAGAAAUAUGUGCUCCAUGCUGAAAGAGUGACCAAUUAGUGCCCCUGAAAUCCUUCCACAUGGGUGAGGAUUUCAAACUCUCUAACAUCAAAAUAAUAGAUAUGAAAAUAAGUUUUAAAAUUUCUACUAAAAUAGAACCCUUUCUCCUACCAAUAAAAAAUAAACUAUGAAUUAGAAUAUUAGAAAUACUACUGAGAACAAAAUACAGGAAUAUCAAGCAAAUUAUCAAGUACAAAGCAUAGACUAUAUCCAUGAAACUAUGUGACUUUCUGCAUCAAAAAUGCUAUUUGACUUAGGAAAUGUCUGUAGAAAAAUAAAGGUACAAGUCAGACCUAAUGUUCUUAAUAAACAAGCUUUCCACAUAAGGUUUUAAUCUUUAUAAGGAAAACUUGGAAAAUUAAUUCUGAAAGAAAUGCAUAGUAAUUCUUCCUUGACAGGCAGACAAAAGGAGUACAAAGAAGUUUGGGCAGAUCACUUUGUUAAUGCUGAGACAGUACUGCUUCAGCUGAGCAACUGUAGUCCAGGGACAAAUGAGACCAGAAAAUCUAUGAAAGAAUGUUCAGCAGUUCCUCUGAGAAACUGUCACUUAUCACAAGCAUGUUAGACAGAAGGUAAAAAAUAUUUUUGAGGCCCAUUUCUCAAGAGAUAAAAUCAGAAAGCAGUUUUUUAUACCAUGCUCAGUUGGCCUCUUGUGGUCUAUGUUUAAAUAUAUCAGUAAAACCCAACUGUCACUGUUGCAGUUGUGAUAUUAAUGGAAAAGACUUCUGGAUUAGAAAAAAAUGUGUUUAUGGCUAAAGUUCCACUAUUAUCUGCUGUAAAUGUCUGAGAACCUCUAAAUACUUCUCUUUCAUAAGAAUUAAAAUAUAAGUCUUAGAAGUUAUUUGAUAUUGAUACAAUUAUUGUGGCUUAAAGGAGGACAUCCAUGAAAUUUGUCAGUAUCAAGGAUGAAUACUAACCAGCAAAACUAGAGAACCAGCUACAUGAAGAAUCUUAGCAAAAAAUCAUCCUUAUAUGGCUUCCUUGAAUCCCUUGUGUACAUUUCAUUAAUUUUUUAUAGUUAAGACUGCGGUGUCAUGAUGAAACUUUGAGUCGGUGAAGAAUAUUUCAGCUUAAUUUGCUAAAAUCAUCACAAGACCAUUAACUGACCUCCAGUAGAUUGAUGUGACUGAAAAAUGCAUUAAUUGAUAUAUUUAAAAAACUGUAUUUAUUAAUGAAACCUAAGGAACUGAGCUUUACUUUUAAUGUUAAUUGUUUGAGCACUAUCAAAUGCCAUAUUAAGUGAACUACUUUUCUAUAAAUUCUUGCUUAAAAUUUG
Molecule: non-coding RNA, 6355 nt
Organism: Cyanistes caeruleus (blue tit)
Lineage: Eukaryota; Metazoa; Chordata; Aves; Passeriformes; Paridae
Source: RefSeq, a predicted model, not a curated record